Molecule: ribosomal RNA, 447 nt
Filed under: uncultured bacterium
Lineage: Bacteria
Description: partial 16S ribosomal RNA
Rfam family: Bacterial small subunit ribosomal RNA
Source: RNAcentral
AACGAACGCUGGCGGCAGGCCUAACACAUGCAAGUCGAACGCCCCGCAAGGGGAGUGGCGCACGGGUGAGUAACGCGUGGGAAUAUGCCCUUCGGUUCGGAAUAACACAGGGAAACUUGUGCUAAUACCGGAUACGAUCUACGGAUGAAAGAUUUAUCACCGAGGGAGUAGCCCGCGUAGGAUUAGCUAGUUGGUGAGGUAAUGGCUCACCAAGGCGACGAUCCUUAGCUGGUCUGAGAGGAUGAUCAGCCACACUGGGACUGAGACACGGCCCAGACUCCUACGGGAGGCAGCAGUGGGGAAUAUUGGACAAUGGGCGAAAGCCUGAUCCAGCCAUGCCGCGUGAGUGAUGAAGGCCUUAGGGCUGUAAAGCUCUUUCGCCAGGGAAGAUAAUGACGGUACCUGGAAAAGAAGCCUCGGCUAACUCCGUGCCAGCCGCCGCCGUAA